CAGCUAGUUGGUAAGGUAACGGCUUACCAAGGCUACGAUGGGUAGGGGUCCUGAGAGGGAGAUCCCCCACACUGGUACUGAGACACGGACCAGACUCCUACGGGAGGCAGCAGUGAGGAAUAUUGGACAAUGGGCGCAAGCCUGAUCCAGCCAUGCCGCGUGCAGGAUGACGGUCCUAUGGAUUGUAAACUGCUUUUGCACAGGAAGAAACAACUCUACGUGUAGAGUCUUGACGGUACUGUGAGAAUAAGGAUCGGCUAACUCCGUGCCAGCAGCCGCGGUAAUACGGAGGAUCCAAGCGUUAUCCGGAAUCAUUGGGUUUAAAGGGUCCGUAGGCGGUUUAGUAAGUCAGUGGUGAAAGCCCAUCACUC
Molecule: ribosomal RNA, 371 nt
Filed under: uncultured Bacteroidota bacterium
Lineage: Bacteria; Pseudomonadati; Bacteroidota
Description: SSU rRNA
Rfam family: Bacterial small subunit ribosomal RNA
Source: RNAcentral